RNAcentral lists this ribosomal RNA (467 nucleotides) under uncultured bacterium. Its description in RNAcentral is "partial 16S ribosomal RNA". It matches the Rfam family "Bacterial small subunit ribosomal RNA", at positions 28 to 507 of the family's 1533-position model. The record is from RNAcentral.
GACGAACGCUGGCGGCGUGCUUAACACAUGCAAGUCGAGCGGAAAGGCCCUGCUUUUGUGGGGUGCUCGAGUGGCGAACGGGUGAGUAACACGUGAGUAACCUGCCCUUGACUUUGGGAUAACUUCAGGAAACUGGGGCUAAUACCGGAUAGGAGCUCCUGCUGCAUGGUGGGGUUGGAAAGUUUCGGCGGUUGGGGAUGGACUCGCGGCUUAUCAGCUUGUUGGUGGGGUAGUGGCUUACCAAGGCUUUGACGGGUAGCCGGCCUGAGAGGGUGACCGGCCACAUUGGGACUGAGAUACGGCCCAGACUCCUACGGGAGGCAGCAGUGGGGAAUAUUGCACAAUGGGCGGAAGCCUGAUGCAGCAACGCCGCGUGCGGGAUGACGGCCUUCGGGUUGUAAACCGCUUUCGCCUGUGACGAAGCGUGAGUGACGGUAAUGGGUAAAGAAGCACCGGCUAACUACGUG